CAUUACAAAAUUACUAAUCUAAAUUUUAAUUAUAACUAAAUUCUAAAGCAAAUAAAAUUACAUUAAGUUAUGUCAACAUUGCAGUUAGUUCAAAUAGUGGAUGUCAUUGGUAACCAAGAUUGUUUAUUCUAUGUAGAAAAAAAAAUAGUUUAUUGUAUUUUAACUUAUCAACAACAAUGUUAUGUUCAUAUGUAUGUGUGUUCCCAUAACUAAAUUACC
RNAcentral lists this long non-coding RNA (219 nucleotides) under Physcomitrium patens. RNAcentral describes it as "long non-coding RNA (PPAT_LNC007088)". The record is from RNAcentral. Lineage: Eukaryota; Viridiplantae; Streptophyta; Bryopsida; Funariales; Funariaceae.